CUUGGUCAUUUAGAGGAAGUAAAAGUCGUAACAAGGUUUCCGUAGGUGAACCUGCGGAAGGAUCAUUAUCGAGUUCUGACUGGGUUGUAGCUGGCCUUCCGAGGCACGUGCACGCCCUGCUCAUCCACUCUACACCUGUGCACUUACUGUGGGUUUCAGAUCUGUGAAGCGUGCCCCUUGCGGGGCUUCGUGAAGCGCGUCUGUGCCUGCGUUUAUCACAAACUCUAUAAAGUAUUAGAAUGUGUAUUGCGAUGUAACGCAUCUAUAUACAACUUUCAGCAACGGAUCUCUUGGCUCUCGCAUCGAUGAAGAACGCAGCGAAAUGCGAUAAGUAAUGUGAAUUGCAGAAUUCAGUGAAUCAUCGAAUCUUUGAACGCACCUUGCGCUCCUUGGUAUUCCGAGGAGCAUGCCUGUUUGAGUGUCAUGAAAUCUUCAACCUACAAGCCUUUGCGGUUUGUAGGCUUGGACCUGGAGGCUUGUCGGCCCUUUGUCGGUCGGCUCCUCUUAAAUGCAUUAGCUUGAUUCCUUGCGGAUCGGCUCUCGGUGUGAUAAUGUCUACGCCGCGACCGUGAAGCGUUUGGCGAGCUUCUAACCGUCUUCGCUUGAAGACAGCUUUAUGACCUCUGACCUCAAAUCAGGUAGGACUACCCGCUGAACUUAAGCAUAUCAAUAAGCGGAGGA
RNAcentral lists this ribosomal RNA (681 nucleotides) under uncultured fungus. RNAcentral's name for it is "eukaryotic LSU rRNA". The stretch from base 271 to 424 matches the Rfam family "5.8S ribosomal RNA". The record is from RNAcentral. Lineage: Eukaryota; Fungi.